GAGGCGAGAGGUCCCUACAAUGGGGAGCUGCGAACCUGGUCAGGGACGAAAGUCAGCAGCCAUAAGCAGUGAUCUCCAUGUGUAGCGGGCCUCUCGCCACG
RNAcentral lists this signal recognition particle RNA (101 nucleotides) under Thermogutta terrifontis. RNAcentral describes it as "SRP RNA (RF00169)". It matches the Rfam family "Bacterial small signal recognition particle RNA". From Rfam's summary of the family: The signal recognition particle (SRP) is a universally conserved ribonucleoprotein involved in the co-translational targeting of proteins to membranes. The record is from RNAcentral. Lineage: Bacteria; Pseudomonadati; Planctomycetota; Planctomycetia; Pirellulales; Thermoguttaceae.